RNAcentral lists this ribosomal RNA (385 nucleotides) under uncultured bacterium. RNAcentral's name for it is "bacterial SSU rRNA". It matches the Rfam family "Bacterial small subunit ribosomal RNA", at positions 28 to 416 of the family's 1533-position model. The record is from RNAcentral.
GACGAACGCUGGCGGCGUGCUUAACACAUGCAAGUCGAGCGGUAAGGCCCUUCGGGGUACACGAGCGGCGAACGGGUGAGUAACACGUGGGUGACCUGCCUUUAGCUCUGGGAUAAGCCUGGGAAACUGGGUCUAAUACCGGAUAUGACCUCAUGACGCAUGUCGUGGGGUGGAAAGCCUUGUGCGGCUAGAGAUGGGCCCGCGGCCUAUCAGCUUGUUGGUGGGGUGANGGCCUACCAAGGCGACGACGGGUAGCCGGCCUGAGAGGGCGACCGGCCACACUGGGACUGAGACACGGCCCAGACUCCUACGGGAGGCAGCAGUGGGGAAUCUUGCGCAAUGGGCGAAAGCCUGACGCAGCGACGCCGCGUGAGGGAUGACGGCC